UGUACAAUUUGGAGUUUAGUAUGGUGUUCAUUAUCACUGAACUAGUAUAUAUUUGUUUAGGGGCCAGCUGAAGGACGCCUCCGGGUGCGAGAAUUUCUCGUUGCAUUGAAGACCUGAUGGUGACCUUCUGCUGGUGUUCGCUCUAUGGUCGGGAUGUUGUCUCUUUGACACAUUCCCCAUUUCCAUUCUCAAUUUUAAUAUGAAACAAAACAAGUCGUCACUUUAAUGGCGAUUUUUACUCUAGAAAUUAUAGUAUAAAAAAAAGAAAAAAAAGGGAAAUAUCAGUAACGUUUUUAAUUAUUUGUACAUUCAUCAUCAUUUGUGUUUAGUUUUCAACACUGUAAAGUACCUGUACACAUAUUUUACAUAGCCAUAUGGAUUGAAAAUCAAAUCAGAGGAACCUACGACUUUUAUACAUAUGUCACAGGUCACUAGUAACUGGACUUGAUAUUAUCUAAAACUUGUUUUAUUAUAUUGUAUGUAUUGUUUAUGCAAUGUAUUUGUAGAAUCACGUCAUGAUUUACAUAUUUAUAAACAACUACCACCACAUUCUUCACGUGUCUGUCCCAAAUCAGGAGCAUGUUAUUCAGUGGAUGUCGUUGGUUAUCUGUUUGUCUGUCUGUCUGUUUGUUUCAUGAAUUGGUUUGUAUUCUCUCCAACUCCUUUAUUGUCUUAUAUUCACGCUUUAAGUGAAUACAUUGAACUGUGAAAAUACAGCAUCAUUGAACUAGAAAUUGCUAGAAUGGUUUAUAUAUAUAUGGAUACUUUUUUUUUCUCAGUAGAACAAAAGCAAAAACAAAUAGAACUAGCAUGGCAUGCACGCAUGAUAAAAAAAUGGAAGAUUGCUUCACCUUUCUAUUGAACGUCAACUUAAAAACUUGACAAAAUCGUAAGACCCAUUUUGGUUAACAGCUGUGGUUUCAGUAAUACUUCUUUUAUUGAAAGAGAAUUUAAUCUUAUGCAAACUUUCCCGCUAACUGAUCAAAAUAAAAUUGAGAAUGGAAAUGGGGAAUGUGUCAAAGAGACAACAACCCGACCAUAUAACAAACAACAGCAGAAGGUCACCAACAGGUCUUCAAUGCAGCUAGAAAUUAUCGCACCCGUCAAUGCAGCUAGAAAUUAUCGCACCCGGAAGCGUCCUUCAGCUGGCCCUCAAACAAAUAUAUAUUUAAGCCUCAAAUCUAUGUCCGGCCUCAAAUCUAUGUCCUUUCCGCAAAACUAUGUCCUUUUUAAUAUUGCGUCAUAGACGUUCCAAAUCUAUGUCCUUUAUUGUCUCAAAUCUAUGUCCUGUAUUGUCUCACAUCUAUGUCCUUUAUUUACUCAAAUCUAUGGCCAUUUUUGACUCAAAUCUAUGUCCUUUCAUCGACGUAAAACAUAACAAAACGUCAUCAAGUAAACAAUGAAAAGUUAACAAUAACAGGUGUAAGUACGGCCUUCAACACGGAGCAUUAACUCACACCGAACAAACAUAGUACAAGUGGUUUAUAUGACAAAAGCAAGGUUAACAUUUUAACUAUUACUACACAUGAUUUAAAAUUGCUUUAUGAUUUGUCUUUAAAACUGGAGGAAAAUCUGUUAUGAAUAGUGGACUGAUGAAAUAUUUUCAAAAACGUCAACUAUAGAGAUUUAUCCUCUUGAAAUGUUUUCUGACAAUUAUCAGGAUAUCUUUACUCCUACUAUUGUGGAAUAUUUACAAUUCAAAAC
RNAcentral lists this long non-coding RNA (1704 nucleotides) under Mytilus galloprovincialis (Mediterranean mussel). Lineage: Eukaryota; Metazoa; Mollusca; Bivalvia; Mytilida; Mytilidae. The record is from RNAcentral.